UUCAUUCCGAGUGUCUUGUGUUCCCCUUGGCAUCAAUGGCGAAGACACUACUCACACAACAUUCUCAGACCUUCCUCCUCCAUCAAUCUCACCGCAGCUCCACUCACGCGGGUCCCACAGUCCACGACCUCGUCCGCGCCCGCAACCUUCCCGGUGUUGUUGCGGUACGGGGUUGUUCCUGAUUUGAUUAGUUUUGGUUCUGUGAUUGGAGUGUUCUCUAGGAAUGGGCGAUUCGAUAAGGCGUUGUAGUAUUUUGGGAAGAUGAAGGGUGCUGGUUUGGUUGCUGAUACGGUGAUUUAUACUAUUCUUAUUGAUGGGUAUUGCAGGAAUGGCAAUGUGGCUGAGGCGUUGAACGUGCGUAAGGAGAUGGUGGAGAGGGGAGUUUUUGCGGAUUACUAUACUCUUACUACCCUAUUCAUGGGUAGGGCUCUUGGUUUGUUUGAGACGCUGACUCAAAGGAGCCUUGUGACGUAUAAUACGUUGAUGGAUGGCUUCUGCAAGAUUGGUGAAAUGGAGAAAGCUAAGGAGUUAUGGUGUGAUAUGGUGAGCAGGGGGAUAUUGCCCAGCUACGUAUCAUUUAGCAUUUUGAUGAAUGGGUUUUGCAGUUUAGGACUUAUGGGUGUGGGAUGAAAUGAUAGAAAAAGGUGUUAAGCCCACGUUGGUAACUUGCAAUACAAAUUCCCAAUAUAUAAGGUCUAGUUGUGGACUAUGCCAAUGCCAUCACUGGUUCUGUAUAUCACAGGAAGCACAACCCUGGUGGAUGUCUUCGGAGCCCGGACAUAAUAGUUGAGCCUUCCUGCCUUGAAGAAUCCUGUAUGUUUUAGACGCUUGGAAAUACAACCCGUCCAUGUUUCUAAGCAUGGUUUGCAGGAGCCAGGAGGGGGACUCCACCAUCUUUCAUGAACUUCAGACUAAUGUUUUUGUAAGUAUAUUUUAUUGAAGGUGGAGCCUGGAUAGAAGUCAUUGCAAUUAUGAAGUGUAGCAUGGGAGAUUGGAAGUUGAAGCAUUCUUUUUUCUUGCUCUCAAGUAGCAUGAGAAUGGUCACCAGUCACCACCUAAGUUCUGGUUCAAGUUAAUUUUAAUGCAACAAUCGCAUACCAAUUAAAGUUUAUUUAACAGUUAUACACAUGUGAAAUUUACCGUGGCUGGUUUGUCUGAUACAAUUAUACCUGUCUUUGGGGUGUACUUUUUGAGAGUUAGAAAAGCAAGCAACAAAUUGUAGAUUUUUUUUUUGUGAUUUUUGAAGAUGAUCCACAUGGAAUUGUUUUCCCAAUUUGAAGCUCUUCCCGUAUUGUUAAAGUGUUGGUAUAUCCACAGGUUAAGAGGGAUGUAAAUCUUUUAGCACAUUAGUUGCAGCUGCAUUGUGAUUUGAAGGUCAUAGGUUCAAUUUAAAUCCUAGAAACAGUCUGUUGGGACUUAGGAAGUUAGGAUCCAGUUGCAAGGCAUGAGACUUGAGUCACAUAUUGGAAGUAUGGCAUGUUAGUGUGGGAUUUACAACAACAGCUAGUUUUUGUGGUGUGGUUCUUCUAAAGUUUCUCAUCAAUUUGUAUCAGAGCCUUUCACUAUGUCUCCCAGCUGCAAACAAGUGGUGCUGGUUGCGAUGAUGGCAUCACUGUGUUUGACCGGAGCUAGUGCAUAUCCAACCCACAUGGGCGCAGGCAGGGGCUGUGGCCUGUUUAGUGUGGUGGAAUAUUGGGAUCCAAAUUCAAGGUAUGGAACUUGAGUCCUACAUUGAAAUUAUGAGAUUCUAAUAUGAGGUUUAUAUGGCUUUGGACUCUCCAACUACAACGGUUAGCUUUUGUGGUAUGGUUGCCCAUCAUAUCAUUUGCAAUAUACAUACUAUACUCUUCACAUUUGAUGUUUCGGGAGAUGGGGAUACUGUUUGAAAUUGAAGUCCACACUUGGUAUGAGAAAAUUCAGCAACAUCAUUACAUAAGCAAAAAUCAGGUAGCACUUUCUUUAACACAUUUGCAAGCUGUACACAUGCCAGCAGUAGAUGGUGUGUGUUGUCUUUGAGACUCUUGACACUGGCAUAACAACAUCAUGCUACUGAGUUCUAAUGAGCUACCACAGGCUGUCUUAGAAAGAUGGAUUUAAUUCCUCUGUGAAAUAAAGCUGUGCACUUUUAAGAAUAAAGUGCAAUUGUAACCAACGGUUGAGAUUAUGAUAAAAUGCGCGUACUAUGUACACUAUGGAAGUUAAGAUUUUAUCUAUCUAACUAUUGAAUUAUAUAGUGUUACCUUCA
Molecule: long non-coding RNA, 2245 nt
Organism: Glycine soja
Lineage: Eukaryota; Viridiplantae; Streptophyta; Magnoliopsida; Fabales; Fabaceae
Exons: 3
Source: RefSeq, a predicted model, not a curated record